Molecule: ribosomal RNA, 2022 nt
Filed under: Silene dioica (red campion)
Lineage: Eukaryota; Viridiplantae; Streptophyta; Magnoliopsida; Caryophyllales; Caryophyllaceae
Description: bacterial LSU rRNA
Rfam family: Bacterial large subunit ribosomal RNA
Source: RNAcentral
AGUGCAUGUGGUGGAUGCCUUGGCGAUUACAGGCGAAGAAGGACGUGAUAGCCUGCGAUAAGCUUCGGGGAGCUGGCAAAUUAGCUUUGAUCCGGAGAUUUCCGAAUGGGGAAACCCACCCCGCGAGGGGUAACGCAUGCUGAAUACAUAGGCAUGACGUGGCGAACCGGGUGAACUGAAACAUCUCAGUAGCUCGAGGAAAAGACAUCAACCGAGAUUCCGAAAGUAGUGGCGAGCGAAAUCGGAGUAGCCGUGGCGUUAUAGCAGUUGGCAUAUCAGAACGGAAUGGAAAGUCCGGCCAUAGCGGGUGAUAGCCCCGUAUGAGAAAUGUUGAUUGUGGAACUAAGCGUCAGACAAGUAGGGCGGGGCACGAGAAACCCUGUCUGAACAUGGGGGGACCAUCCUCCAAGGCUAAAUACUCGUAAUCGACCGAUAGUGAACAAGUACCGUGAGGGAAAGGCGAAAAGAACCCCGGGAGGGGAGUGAAAUAGAUCCUGAAACCGUGUGCAUACAAACAGUAGGAGCCUCCUUGUGGGGUGACUGCGUACCUUUUGUAUAAUGGGUCAGCGACUUACAUUCAGUGGCAAGCUUAACCGAGUAGGGGAGGCGUAGGGAAACCGAGUCCGAACAGGGCGUUCAAGUCGCUGGGUGUAGACCCGAAACCAAGUGAUCUAUCCAUGGCCAGGAUGAAGGUGCGGUAACACGCACUGGAGGUCCGAACCGACUAGUGUUGCAAAACUAGCGGAUGAGCUGUGGAUAGGGGUGAAAGGCUAAACAAACUUGGAAAUAGCUGGUUCUCUCCGAAAACUAUUUAGGUAGUGCCUCAAGUAUUACCAUCGGGGGUAGAGCACUGUUAUGGCUAGGGGGUCAUGGCGACUUACCAAACCAUUGCAAACUCCGAAUACCGAUGAGUACAGCUUGGGAGACAGUGCACCGGGUGCUAACGUCCGGACACAAGAGGGAAACAACCCAGACCGCCAGCUAAGGUCCCCAAAAUUGGCUAAGUGGGAAACGAAGUGGGAAGGCUAAAACAGUCAGGAUGUUGGCUUAGAAGCAGCCAUCAUUUAAAGAAAGCGUAAUAGCUCACUGAUCGAGUCGUCCUGCGCGGAAGAUGUAACGGGGCUAAGCCAGUUACCGAAGCUGCGGAUUUGCGAUUUAUCGCAAGUGGUAGGAGAGCGUUCUGUACGCCUGUGAAGGUGGAUCGCGAGGUCUGCUGGAGGUAUCAGAAGUGCGAAUGCUGACAUGAGUAGCGUUAAAGGGGGUGAAAAGCCCCCUCGCCGAAAGCGCAAGGUUUCCUACGCAACGUUCAUCGGCGUAGGGUGAGUCGGCCCCUAAGGCGAGGCAGAGAUGCGUAGCUGAUGGGAAACAGGUCAAUAUUCCUGUACCGAUCAAUAGUGCGAUGUGGGGACGGAGAAGGUUAGCUCAGCCAACUGUUGGAUAUGUUGGUUCAAGCGUGUAGUCGUGCUCUCUAGGCAAAUCCGGAGGGCUGAGAUGAGGCGUGAUAACGAGUCUGCUUGCAGACGAAGUGAGUGAUACCCUGCUUCCAGGAAAAGCCACUAAGCUUCAGCUAUUGACGACCGUACCGCAAACCGACACUGGUGCGCGAGAUGAGUAUUCUAAGGCGCUUGAGAGAACUCUGGAGAAGGAACUCGGCAAAUUGACACCGUAACUUCGGAAGAAGGUGUGCCUUUAGUAGGUGAUCCAUUUACUUGGUUAGCCCAAUGAGGCCGCAGAGAAUCGGUGGCUGCAACUGUUUAUUAAAAACACAGCACUCUGCAAAGACGAAAGUCGACGUAUAGGGUGUGACUCCUGCCCGGUGCUGGAAGAUUAAAUGAUGGGGUGCAAGCUCUUGACUGAAGUCCCAGUAAACGGCGGCCGUAACAAUAACGGUCCUAAGGUAGCGAAAUUCCUUGUCGGGUAAGUUCCGACCUGCACGAAUGGAGUAAUGAUGGCCACACUGUCUCCUCCAGAGACUCAGCGAAGUUGAAAUGUUUGUGAUGAUGCAAUCUCCCCGCGGAAAGA